Molecule: long non-coding RNA, 512 nt
Organism: Mustela erminea (ermine)
Lineage: Eukaryota; Metazoa; Chordata; Mammalia; Carnivora; Mustelidae
Exons: 3
Source: RefSeq, a predicted model, not a curated record
CGGGAGGGGAGGGACCAAACUGAGGGCCAGGGUUGGGCUGUUGAGAGCUCGGGCGGAGGGGAGGAAAAGAGCAGGGCUGGGAGUGAGCGGCACAGUAUAGGCAGCGUCACCCUUUUACGGGGACUCUCUCUCUAUCGCUGUAGCGACCAGAGAGGCCAGAGGACCCCUUAAAAAUCCGCUCUGAUAAGCCCCGGGGACGACCUCCUUCGCGCCUUCGGAUUGGGCCCACGAACCAGCCUGGGCUUUCCCAUUGGGGGCUGGCGCCCCGAGCUCAGCGCACAGCUUGCCGGGAGUUGUAGGACCAGGCGUCGUUUUAGUGCCGAAGGCUUCCGACGUGACGGCCGACGUUUCUGCUCAGCCGGCUGUCCGUACCGGGAGUCUCCUCGUUCGGCCCUGUGGGGGCUUGGCCACACCUGGGAUCCGGGACCCGUAACUCCUCAAUUUCCAGAAAUGGUGUACUUGAGGCUGGACAAGAAUGAACAUAUAAACUGGUCUCAGAAGACAUUUUGGAU